This is a non-coding RNA of Meleagris gallopavo (turkey), 4468 nucleotides long. The record is from RefSeq and is a predicted model, not a curated record. Lineage: Eukaryota; Metazoa; Chordata; Aves; Galliformes; Phasianidae.
ACAUUGUUUUGUUUCAUGCUUACUUUUGUGGGGCAGGAUAUGUCUCUUGCUUUGCUUAAUUGGUAUUUUGACAUUUCAUUCAUUACCUUCUGGAAGUCUCCCUCUGGAAGAGGCCAUGUUACUCCUGAAGAGUAAUUAACUACUACAAGUUUCAUUUCAUAUUUCUGCCAUAGGGUGCUGGUUUUAACUUUGUUGUAGGUCUACAGUAAGAUUCAGUUUAAACUCAUGUAAAUUUAACAUAUGAUUCUUACUUUGCUCUUUGGUACUGUAAACUAAUGACAGUGUGGUAUGGACUAGACAAGAUUGGGUGCUUGAAGCUAUGAAUUCUGAUGGUAUCUCUGCCACUGAUUUCUUAUGUAGCUUUCUUAAACGUAACACUGUUUCAUAAAGCAAAUAUGAACAACGCUGGCCUCUUACUUUUGUAGUGAUACAUGAUUAAUUUGUUGCUUUGACUUUUUUUUCAUUGUAUUCUGGUGUCUUUGGAGUGACUAUAUACAAUCUCUGGUAUCUUACGAGAUCGUUAACCUUGUUUAAAAGCAGUAGGUUAUUAUAACUUGAUCUCUGUAUGGAUUGUGGUAAGCUUUAUCAUAUACAAAAUUCUAUCUUGGUUGGCCUGAGUAGACCUUCUAAACAGUACAAAAGAAGUAAGAGUGAUAGAAAUAAGUAUCACUUGCUGGUGAUAAAUUGUCUGCAUGCUUACUAAAUUAUCCUGGUGUAUAAAAAAUCAAAUUAAUUAGAAAACUAAAUUUUCAAAAAUUAUCUUUAAUUCUUAAUAAGUUUAAGAAAGGCUGUGAGAUAUUUUUAUGUACUGCUUUGAAAACUUAACCUCAUUUAUGGAGCCUUAGCAUCCUAUAUUAUGUAAAAAAUACCAUAGGACAAAAUCAAUUUUUUUGGGAAGGAAAUUAUUAUGUAUUUCUACUUCUGCUUCUAAAUAGUUCUUCUGUUUGGAUACACUUAUAAUGACGAUUAUAAUGAAUUAAAACUUUGUGUUGUGCUUCUUCUGUCAGAAACUACCAGUGAAGCCAGAAUCACAGGGGUGACCCUUCAAUUGUGAAACUGAAUAUUGCUAUUACCACAGGCUACCUCAUUUCUGAUUUGUUGCUUAUUAUUUGCUACUGGAAGGCAAUUGGUGACAAAUUUUUUGUAAUACAUCACUUGGCAGCUCUGUAUGCUUAUUAUUUUGUACUGAGCAAAGGUCUGCUGGCUUAUUUUGGGAACUUCCGUCUGCUUGCAGAAUUCUCCACUCCUUUUGUCAAUCAGCGGUAAGUAGCUGUGGAGUUUUUACACAAUUCUUUACAUUUUUAUCUAUAUUAUACAGGAAGGUUUUGUCAUUGAAUAGCUGCUAAAAGUGAAUUUUCAUUUAUUUAGAGUUUUUACUAUCUGGAAAUCUAUUUUGCUAUGAAAACAUUUAGCUGCUGUUGCUGCACAGCUGGUGUGCUCACCCCUGAGUUCUUUCUUAAAGCAGACCAACCUUCAUAUGAAAUGCCAGAUUUUCAUUCUUCUGUUAUAAAAAUAGUUCUGGAUUCUGAACUCUUAAAUUAGAAGAGUAGUAAAGCAUCUAAAUGCAGCUGUGGUAGUUAAACUUUACACUUGUGAUCAGAGAAGAAAGUCUGCUAAAGAGCAGGAGGCUCUUUAGCAGACUUCAGUGACAGUGGAAGACUGCUGUGGCUUCUGGUUGUAGCAUCACACUCAAACUGCUGCUGUGAGAAUCAGGGAAGGCAUGAUAAUGCCAAGGAGGGCAGUCCCUGGAAUUUCCCAGUGCUCUGGGCUGGGUGUCCUCUACUGCUCUGCAGCUGCUGUGACCCAACUGGGGACACCAACAUGCCCCAGGACUUCACCUCGAGAGCAGGACUUCAGUAUAGCAUGGAGCUGCUGCCAUAUCCUCCUCCUCCUCUUCCAUGUUUUUCUUUUGUUUGUGGUGUAGGAUCAGAUCUGACAGUGCACCGCAUACCCAUUCCCAUCCUUUUUGGGGUGUUUCUACUUUACUGAUCCUUCUUGUGCAGUGUCUAUUUUCCUUUCCAGGUGUCAGAUAGAGAAAGGGUGAGGGUGAUAAGAAAAAGGGUCUAUAAGCCUUCAGACAAGAUGUCUGCGUAUUAUCUAUUACUACGUUGUGAUUGUCAACUCUGAAAGAGUUUAAGAGACUGUAGCAUUCCUCACGUUUCUAAGAAUGUAAAAAACAAAAGGAAGGAUUGUGCUGAGGACCCUUCUGAAUGUUGGCAAAUUCAACUUAGAGGAGGGUAGGUAAUGGAGCUCUGCAGGGCUAUUUCCAGUUGUCCAUGGGAAGACUGUUGUGGUUUAAUUCAGGCUAACCAAGGAGUGAAUAAACACUUCUUCAAGCUUGUUUUAUAGGAGAAUAAGAAAGCAGGAGGUAGUGUAUUCUGAAGGUAGUAUUAUAUUCUAGAUUUCUCUAUUGGUGCUCAUGUCCCAGUCAUUGUUCUCAUAACUGACUUUUAUCAAGAUAGGAUUUCAUAUUGGAAAUGGAUGCUUACCUUUCAAAUUUAUUAAAAGUAGUAUAUAUUAUACUUUUAAAUGCCUGUGGUGAGACUGUGUCCUUGAAAACCCACAUCUACUGCUUUCUGAGAAAAACAGAAGUCUCUGCAGAGAUGAUAAGGUCCUUCACACUGAGAGAUGUCAUCUCAUUAGUGUAUGGUUUUUUUCCCAUUACAUUUGAAAAGGCAGCAAGUAGUGGAUAAUGAUAAUGAUUUACAUUAAACUUCUUGUUUGCAUUCUUAAUAUUACCAAAAAAGAGCAGUAUUAAAAUAUAAAAUGAUAGUCUAAUCUCGGAACUGAAGUAUUUUCUUUGUUUUGGUGUUGUUAGGGGUAUUUACUUCAAGGUUGUCCCCAUUGCAAGCAUUUAGAUCUUUUUAUGUUCAUGUCAACAUUUAUGCAGUUAAUUAUAAACUGUGUUGGGUAAAAUGUUAACAAUCACUGAGAUUUACUUAUAUUUUUUGAAUUUGCUGGGAGAGGGAAGUCUUUGAGCAGAUGUCCAGUCACUCUUUUCUCCAGCAGUUACUUAUCUUGGCACAUUGCUGUGGACUUCAAAAACUUUCUUUGAUGUUACUUCUGGAAUCUGCAUUAUAUGUACUGAGGAAAAUAUAGGCUCUGUCUCACCAAACAUGCCAGGUCUCUGUCAGCCCAGCGUUUUGGUGGGAAGGUGUCCAGCUUCCUGAUCAGGCUAUCACCUGGAGAGCCUGGAGUUUGUAUCAGCUGCAUUCUUAACUGAUUCCUGGUGUGUUUCCGUUAGAGCUGGAUGUCUGGCAAGUCUUUUUAGUAUAUCAGUAAUUAUGUAGGUUGCAAUCUGCGGAUAAUUAAAGUUGACUUUAUUUUUUACAAGUUUUUAACUUGUUAUUUUGUUUAAUAGCUUUACCCCUGUACCUUUUUGAAAACAAAUUGGUUAUCCCACUUCCUCCUUCCCAAUUGCUGUCAUGAAUACGUUGAUUCAUGUUAUUUUCCUGUCUUUAACCUGCCAUUGUUGCUCAGUUUUUCCUUGCAUUUAUUUAUUAUGUGUGAACGUGCCUCGCUCCAAUUAUAGGAGAGAGAAGAGAGAAGGUUCUUUAAUAUAUAUGUGUACUCAACGGUGAGAUUAAGACACCAUGGGUCUGACCAGCUUAUUACAAAUCCUAGUUGUUUUGGGAGACAGGGAAGGGAAGACGGAUGAUAAAAGCAAGCAGUUUUUGUAGAAAGCAAGAGAGAAGCCACCACCAUAGGUCCAGUGUGGUUUGUAGUGCAUCUGUAGAUCCCAAAAACUCAUCUGGUCACCAUGGGGGAUGGGAGAAAGACAGGAAGCUUUGCACAGUAGCAGCAAGCAGGGCCCAGGAGGGGGUUCUUUCUGAAGGGUUUUUUUUUCUCUUAGGGAAUUCCUCUGCCAAAGGUUCUUUCGCUUUGGGAGUUUCUCUCCUCCAAAGGUUUCUUUUCUUUGGGAGUUCUCCAGAGUCCUUAGUUUAGUGGGAACCUUUCAUCCUCCGCUUUUCAGUUUCUUUUUUUAAUUCUUUUCUCUCUGUUAGCAUGACACGCUUGGCCCAACAGAUAAGCCAACAUGGAGUGAUGCCUUUGUUGCCAUGCACAAGCAUUAUUGCCUUUGCAGUGGUCAGCUUCUUCAAGCUGCACCCCUGAAAAAGACUGCUUGUCCCGCUUCUGCUUAUCUUUACACUCAUAAGCAGAAGUACUAUGGCACGGUGACACCCACCACUCACCCCUGAGAUCUAUGAAAUAUUACACCUCUAUUUUAUUACCAUAUCCAAAUACAAUGUUAGGAUUGCUUUCAGGAGAGAAAUAUUUUUUUUAAUUGCCUGUAGGUGCAAAUUAUAAUAAAAAGCAAUAAAUUUGAAUUUACCACCUUAAAAGUUAUUUUAAAUUAUAGUGUAAUGGUCAUUGGCAUACAUAGUGGUCUUGAGCUGACUUACAAUUUGAACUGGGAUUUUCUAUGUGUUAUCCUACACGUAAUGUUCUUGAUAUCACACAGUACUUA